RNAcentral lists this ribosomal RNA (110 nucleotides) under Citrobacter freundii. RNAcentral describes it as "partial 16S ribosomal RNA". It matches the Rfam family "Bacterial small subunit ribosomal RNA", at positions 1 to 103 of the family's 1533-position model. Lineage: Bacteria; Pseudomonadati; Pseudomonadota; Gammaproteobacteria; Enterobacterales; Enterobacteriaceae. The record is from RNAcentral.
AAAUUGAAGAGUUUGAUCAUGGCUCAGAUUGAACGCUGGCGGCAGGCCUAACACAUGCAAGUCGAACGGUAGCACAAAGGAGCUUGCUCCUUGGGUGACGAGUGGCGGAC